RNAcentral lists this long non-coding RNA (1387 nucleotides) under Homo sapiens (human). Its description in RNAcentral is "HSALNT0026387". The record is from RNAcentral. Lineage: Eukaryota; Metazoa; Chordata; Mammalia; Primates; Hominidae.
UGCAGGUUCUACAGGAAGCACGGUGUCUUCCGCUUCUGGGGAGGCCUGAGGAAACUUAGAACCAUGGGGAAAAGCAAAGGGAAAGAAGUCCCAUCUCACAUGGCAGCAGCAGGAGCCAGAAAGAGAGAGGGAAUGUGCCACACACCUCUAAACAACCAGACCUCAUGAGAACUCACUAUCCUGACGACACCACCGAGGAGAUAGUGCUAAACCGUGAGAAAACGCCCCCAGGACGCAAUUCCCCCCUCCAGGCCCCACUUCCAGCGCUGGGGAUUACGUUUUGACAUGAGAUUUCUGCAGAGACGCAGAUCCAAACCAUAUCAAAGUGUGAAGUGAAUCUGGUGGACCACUGUGGGCUUUGAAGAUGGAACAGACCACGUGGAGGGCGUGGAGGGUACAGCACUCUCUGUGAACUGAGAGUGGCCCUGGCUGACAGCCGGUGUGGAAAUAAGGACCUCAGAUCACUGGCAAUAAGAAACUGAAUGCCACAAACAACCUGAGUAUGCCUGAAAGUGGAUUCUUCCCCAGAGCCUUCUUCUAGCACGGGGCCCAGUACACACAUCGCUUUCCCCUUGUGAUAACUAAGGAGAGAACCGGAGACCUCCCCACUUCUGGCCGGACCUCAGCAGGUCUCACUUUGUCAUCCAGUCUGGAGUGCAGUGGCAAGAUGUUAGCUCACUGCAGCCUCGAACUCCCGGGUUCAAGCAAUCCUCCUGCCUCAGACCCCCAAGUAGCUGGCACUGCAGGCAUGUGCCACCAUGCCUGGCUCAUUUUUGUAUUUUUUUGUAGAGACGAAGUUUUGCCAUGUUGCCCAGGUUGGUCUCAAAGUCCUGGGCUCAGGUGACCUCCUGCCUCAGCCUCCCAAAGUGGUACAAUUACAGGCGUGAGCCACUGCGCCUGGCCUGAAAGUUGAGCACCAUUUUGAACAUGCUCUCCAUAUUUACACGGAGGUCAUAGUCUUCUUACAACAUGGACUCCAUGGAAAAUAAAAUUCUUAACUGAUUUGCUUCAUAUUUCUCCACAUUUAAUCAUUUUCAUUUGGUUUUGAUAAUUUGGUCUGUGGGAUCACUUAGAGUAGAUUUUACUUCUCUUUUUAUCCAUCUCUUUGUGAUUAUUCCUUCCUGUCUACAAAGUUUCCAUUGCCUCCAUCUGGCCUUCUGUGUCUCCCAGUCCAGAACCACAUCUUACAUUGUGGUUUGGGAAUGUGCUGUGGAGUGCUAUUGGGACAUCAUUGAUCUAUGACAUUGAGCUGGUGGGAAUCUUGGCUCAGCUCCUUGCCACUGGAAUCUCCUGUGUCCUCCUUACCCCCAGACACAUUUUUUAAACUUUUAUUUUAAGUUCAGGGGUACCAGUGUAGGUUUGUUACAUAGGCAAACGUGUGUCAUGG